CGCUGACGAGCGGCGGACGGGUGAGUAAUGUCUGGGGAUCUGCCUGAUGGAGGGGGAUAACUACUGGAAACGGUAGCUAAUACCGCAUAACGUCGCAAGACCAAAGUGGGGGACCUUCGGGCCUCAUGCUAUCAGAUGAACCCAGAUGGGAUUAGCUAGUAGGUGUGGUAAUGGCUCACCUAGGCGACGAUCCCUAGCUGGUCUGAGAGGAUGACCAGCCACACUGGAACUGAGACACGGUCCAGACUCCUACGGGAGGCAGCAGUGGGGAAUAUUGCACAAUGGGCGCAAGCCUGAUGCAGCCAUGCCGCGUGUAUGAAGAAGGCCUUCGGGUUGUAAAGUACUUUCAGUAGGGAGGAAGGUGUGAACGUUAAUAGCGCUCACAAUUGACGUUACCUACAGAAGAAGCACCGGCUAACUCCGUGCCAGCAGCCGCGGUAAUACGGAGGGUGCAAGCGUUAAUCGGAAUUACUGGGCGUAAAGCGCACGCAGGCGGUUUGUUAAGUUGGAUGUGAAAUCCCCGGGCUUAACCUGGGAACUGCAUCCAAGACUGGCAAGCUAGAGUCUCGUAGAGGGAGGUAGAAUUCCAGGUGUAGCGGUGAAAUGCGUAGAGAUCUGGAGGAAUACCGGUGGCGAAGCGGCCUCCUGGACGAGACUGACGCUCAGUGCGAAAGCGUGGGGAGCAAACAGGAUUAGAUACCCUGUAGUCCACGCUGUAACGAUGUCGAUUUGGAGUUGUGCCCUUGAGGCGUGGCUUCCGAAGCUAACGCGUUAAAUCGACCGCCUGGGGAGUACGGCCGCAAGGUUAAAACUCAAAUGAAUUGACGGGGGCCCGCACAAGCGGUGGAGCAUGUGGUUUAAUUCGAUGCAACGCGAAGAACCUUACCUACUCUUGACAUCCAGCGAAUCCUGUAGAGAUACGGGAGUGCCUUCGGGAACGCUGAGACAGGUGCUGCAUGGCUGUCGUCAGCUCGUGUUGUGAAAUGUUGGGUUAAGUCCCGCAACGAGCGCAACCCUUAUCCUUUGUUGCCAGCGGUUCGGCCGGGAACUCAAAGGAGACUGCCAGUGAUAAACUGGAGGAAGGUGGGGAUGACGUCAAGUCAUCAUGGCCCUUACGAGUAGGGCUACACACGUGCUACAAUGGCGUAUACAAAGAGAAGCGAACUCGCGAGAGCAAGCGGACCUCAUAAAGUACGUCGUAGUCCGGAUUGGAGUCUGCAACUCGACUCCAUGAAGUCGGAAUCGCUAGUAAUCGUGGAUCAGAAUGCCACGGUGAAUACGUUCCCGGGCCUUGUACACACCGCCCGUCACACCAUGGGAGUGGGUUGCAAAAGAAGUAGGUAGCUUAACCUUCGGGAGGGCGCUUACCACUUUGUGAUUCAUGACUGGGGUG
This 1393-nucleotide ribosomal RNA is filed under the name Edwardsiella tarda. RNAcentral's name for it is "bacterial SSU rRNA". It matches the Rfam family "Bacterial small subunit ribosomal RNA". Lineage: Bacteria; Pseudomonadati; Pseudomonadota; Gammaproteobacteria; Enterobacterales; Hafniaceae. The record is from RNAcentral.